GAUGAACGCUGGCGGCGUGCCUAAUACAUGCAAGUCGAGCGAACGGACGAGAAGCUUGCUUCUCUGAUGUUAGCGGCGGACGGGUGAGUAACACGUGGAUAACCUACCUAUAAGACUGGGAUAACUUCGGGAAACCGGAGCUAAUACCGGAUGAUAUUUUGAACCGCAUGGUUCAAAAGUGAAAGACGGUCUUGCUGUCACUUAUAGAUGGAUCCGCGCUGCAUUAGCUAGUUGGUAAGGUAACGGCUUACCAAGGCAACGAUGCAUAGCCGUCCUGAGAGGGUGAUCGGCCACACUGGAACUGAGACACGGUCCAGACUCCUACGGGAGGCAGCAGUAGGGAAUCUUCCGCAAUGGGCGAAAGCCUGACGGAGCAACGCCGCGUGAGUGAUGAAGGUCUUCGGAUCGUAAAACUCUGUUAUUAGGGAAGAACAUAUGUGUAAGUAACUGUGCACAUCUUGACGGUACCUAAUCAGAAAGCCACGGCUAACUACGUG
This 497-nucleotide ribosomal RNA is filed under the name uncultured bacterium. Its description in RNAcentral is "partial 16S ribosomal RNA". It matches the Rfam family "Bacterial small subunit ribosomal RNA", at positions 28 to 507 of the family's 1533-position model. The record is from RNAcentral.